UAAUGAGAAGUACUGGCAGUGUCAAACACUUUUUGAGAUGUCUUGUCCGGAGAAUGUUACAUUGGUGGGGUGAGAACAAGAACUGAAGAAGCUUACAUAUUUUGGGAAAUUUGACAAUUUUGACAUAUUUUAAGGUAAUCAUUUUGAGUGGUGAACUUUUGUGAAAAAUCACUCGUUGGUGACCAAAAAUAUUCCCCAUCGUGACGUGAAAGCCACCCUUCUGAACUUCAGGCAUAUCUCUGAACUGAGUCAAUGUUUUAAGUAAUUUAAUUUACCAUUAAAUGAAUCCUUCACGCGUGUCAGCGGCUGCACGUGCGAGUGUGAGCUGGUCCUCGCUGGAUUGUCUUGUUACGUGAAGGCAUCGCAACCGACGGGGACAAACAUCCAACGGCGUCUGACGCGCCUGUUAUCUUCUCUUUCCUCCACUUCCUGUCUCUUUAGUUUUCCCCCAAGCUUACGCGAUUUACGAGCUUGAAU
This 477-nucleotide long non-coding RNA is filed under the name Arabidopsis thaliana (thale cress). Its description in RNAcentral is "ncRNA (AT2G09635)". Lineage: Eukaryota; Viridiplantae; Streptophyta; Magnoliopsida; Brassicales; Brassicaceae. The record is from RNAcentral.